UUGUUUUGUUUGUUUUAUUUAUGUAUAUAGAUAUAUAUAUUAUUUCGUUCUAUGUGUAUUUUGAUAUAAAUAUAUAUUAAUAUCACAAUACAGUUAGAACGAAAUAAAACAUAUCUAUAUAUUUUUUAAUAAUUUUUAAAAAAUAAUUUUUAAAAUUUUAUUUUUUAACGUAUUUACAUUUUUUUUUAUAUUAUAUAUAAAUAUAUAUAACAAUAAUUAUAUAUAUAUUUAAUCAAUAUCAGUCUACGUGUAAUCCGUCGCAUUCGGAUGUCUGCCCUAUUAACUUUCAAUGGUACUUUCUGCACCUAUCAUGGUGACCACGGGUAACAGGGAAUCAGGGUUUGAUUCCAGAGAGGGAGCCAGAGAAACGGCUACCACAUCCAAGGAAGGCAGCAGGCGCGCAAUUUACCCCACACCUGACGCGGGGAGGUAGUGACGAAAAAUAACAAUACAGGACCCUUUUGAGGCCCUGUAAUUGUAAUGAGUACACUUUAAAUCCUUUAACGAGGAUCUAUUGGAGGGCAAGUCUGGUGCAGAGCAACUGACCCGUGCGUGCUGCAGCUGAAACUCCACUAUAGCCUGCUGCUGCUCAUACAGUCUCUCCAGCA
Molecule: non-coding RNA, 608 nt
Organism: Pelobates cultripes (western spadefoot toad)
Lineage: Eukaryota; Metazoa; Chordata; Amphibia; Anura; Pelobatidae
Source: the annotation of a GenBank genome assembly